RNAcentral lists this ribosomal RNA (482 nucleotides) under uncultured bacterium. Its description in RNAcentral is "bacterial SSU rRNA". It matches the Rfam family "Bacterial small subunit ribosomal RNA", at positions 30 to 507 of the family's 1533-position model. The record is from RNAcentral.
UGAACGCUAGCGGCAGGCUUAACACAUGCAAGUCGAGGGGUAGAAGCAGCUUGCUGCUUUGAGACCGGCGCACGGGUGCGUAACGCGUAUGCAAUCUACCUUUUACAGAGGGAUAGCCCAGAGAAAUUUGGAUUAAUACCUCAUAGUAUGUGAGAAUCGCAUGGUUUUCACAUUAAAGUUCCAACGGUAAAAGAUGAGCAUGCGUCCCAUUAGCUAGAUGGUAAGGUAACGGCUUACCAUGGCGACGAUGGGUAGGGGUCCUGAGAGGGAGAUCCCCCACACUGGUACUGAGACACGGACCAGACUCCUACGGGAGGCAGCAGUGGGGAAUUUUGGACAAUGGGGGCAACCCUGAUCCAGCAAUGCCGCGUGAGUGAAGAAGGCCUUCGGGUUGUAAAGCUCUUUUGUCAGGGAAGAAACAGCAGCUCUAACACAGUCUGCGAAUGACGGUACCUGAAGAAUAAGCACCGGCUAACUACGUG